ACGGGGUGCAGCAGGCGCGAAACCUCUGCAAUAGGCGAAAGCCUGACAGGGUUACUCUGAGUGAUUCCCGCUAAGGGGAUCUUUUGGCACCUCUAAAAAUGGUGCAGAAUAAGGGGUGGGCAAGCCUGGUGUCAGCCGCCGCGGUAAUACCAGCACCCCGAGUGGUCGGGACGAUUAUUGGGCCUAAAGCAUCCGUAGCCGGCCACGCAAGUCUUCCGUUAAAUCCACCCGCUCAACGGUUGGGCUGCGGAGGAUACUACGUGGCUAGGAGGCGGGAGAGGCAAGCGGUACUCAAUGGGUAGGGGUAAAAUCCUUUGAUCCAUUGAAGACCACCAGUGGCGAAGGCGGCUUGCCAGAACGCGCUCGACGGUGAGGGAUGAAAGCUGGGGGAGCAAACCGGAUUAGAUACCCGGGUAGUCCCAGCUGUAAACGAUGCAGACUCGGUGAUGGGAUGGCCUCGAGCCAUCCCAGUGCCGCAGGGAAGCCGUUAAGUCUGCCGCCUGGGGAGUACGGUCGCAAGACUGANAUCUUAGAAGGAAUUGGCGGGGGAGCAC
Molecule: ribosomal RNA, 554 nt
Filed under: uncultured archaeon
Lineage: Archaea
Description: bacterial SSU rRNA
Rfam family: Archaeal small subunit ribosomal RNA
Source: RNAcentral